This is a non-coding RNA of Parastagonospora nodorum SN15, 72 nucleotides long. Lineage: Eukaryota; Fungi; Ascomycota; Dothideomycetes; Pleosporales; Phaeosphaeriaceae. The record is from the annotation of a RefSeq genome assembly.
GCCCGCUUGGCUUAGGGGUACAGCGUCGCACUCGUAAUGCGAAGAUCCGCGGUUCGAUUCCGCGAGUGGGCA